This 329-nucleotide unclassified non-coding RNA is filed under the name soil metagenome. Its description in RNAcentral is "partial contains 5.8S ribosomal RNA, internal transcribed spacer 2, and large subunit ribosomal RNA". The stretch from base 1 to 120 matches the Rfam family "5.8S ribosomal RNA", at positions 35 to 154 of the family's 154-position model. The record is from RNAcentral.
GAUGAAGAACGCAGCGAAAUGCGAUAAGUAAUGUGAAUUGCAGAAUUCAGUGAAUCAUCGAAUCUUUGAACGCACAUUGCGCCCCUUGGUAUUCCGAGGGGCAUGCCUGUUCGAGCGUCAUUAUAACCCCUCAAGCUCAGCUUGGUGUUGGGGCCUGCUGCACUGGCAGCCCUUAAAAUCAGUGGCGGCGCCAUCUGGCUCUAAGCGUAGUAAUUCUUCUCGCUAUGGAGUCCUGGUGGAUGCUUGCCAUCAACCCCCAAUUUUUCUAUGGAUGACCUCGGAUCAGGUAGGGAUACCCGCUGAACUUAAGCAUAUCAAUAAGCGGAGGA